This 676-nucleotide unclassified non-coding RNA is filed under the name uncultured Prochlorococcus sp. RNAcentral's name for it is "partial may contain 16S ribosomal RNA, 16S-23S ribosomal RNA intergenic spacer, and 23S ribosomal RNA". The stretch from base 299 to 371 matches the Rfam family "tRNA". The record is from RNAcentral. Lineage: Bacteria; Bacillati; Cyanobacteriota; Cyanophyceae; Synechococcales; Prochlorococcaceae.
AGGAGGACGCCGAAGGUGGGGCUAAUGACUGGGGUGAAGUCGUAACAAGGUAGCCGUACCGGAAGGUGCGGCUGGAUCACCUCCUAACAGGGAGACAACAAAAUGUUAAAUAUUAAUUUUGUCACCUUAGGUCGAUCGGUAUCUCACAUUCUUAUUUUAUUUAAGAAUUUUAUUUCCUAAGUUUUUUCUAGGUCACACCCAUUAUUUUUCCUGGGCCAUUAGCUCAGGUGGUUAGAGCGCACCCCUGAUAAGGGUGAGGUCCCUGGUUCAAGUCCAGGAUGGCCCAUAUCUCUAUGUUGGGGGUAUAGCUCAGUUGGUAGAGCGCCUGCUUUGCAAGCAGGAUGUCAGCGGUUCGAGUCCGCUUACCUCCACUGAUCACCACCUCUUCCAUAUUUAUAGAAGGGAAAAUUUUUGAGUUGUGAUCAAAUUCUGAGCGAAUCUAGCUUCCUAAUAACUUUAUUAAGAUGCUGGACUCAUUGAAUUAAUUUCAUUGUUUUCAGAGAACCUUGACAACUGCAUAGAUUAUUUUUAAAGACAAUAAGCAUCUUUAGUGAUGCAGAUUUAUUAUUUGUGCUAAUGCAUUAAUAACAAUUCUAUUAAGCUGAUGCUUCAAUUUUUGAAGUUAUUGGUCAAGCUACAAAGGGCUCACGGAGGAUACCUAGGCACACAGAGGCGA